This 131-nucleotide small nuclear RNA is filed under the name Caenoncopus sp. PS-2009. Its description in RNAcentral is "partial U2 snRNA". It matches the Rfam family "U2 spliceosomal RNA", at positions 25 to 155 of the family's 192-position model. From Rfam's summary of the family: U2 is a small nuclear RNA (snRNA) component of the spliceosome (involved in pre-mRNA splicing). Complementary binding between U2 snRNA (in an area lying towards the 5' end but 3' to hairpin I) and the branchpoint sequence (BPS) of the intron results the bulging out of an unpaired adenosine, on the BPS, which initiates a nucleophilic attack at the intronic 5' splice site, thus starting the first of two transesterification reactions that mediate splicing. Lineage: Eukaryota; Metazoa; Arthropoda; Arachnida; Opiliones; Sandokanidae. The record is from RNAcentral.
GAUCAAAGUGUAGUAUCUGUUCUCGACAGCUUAAUAUCUGUUGCGAUCUCCAAUGGGGAUCAAGAUAUUGAACUUAUUUUUAUACUGGGGUGGAUAGCUUGAGGCUUGCCUCACCUCCGCCGCGGGUUGUC